GNAUCGAGACCCAGCGUCCUCUGUUGCUACCUGGCUUUGUGCCAUGGCACACUAGAUAGAAGACCGCCGCUGAUAAAGCGGAGGAAAGGAGCGGGCCACAGGCAAGGUCAAGUAUGCCCCGAACUCUCCCGGGCCAUCACAGCGAUGCUAGCAAUGGCAGGUAUCAAUGGGUUCCGACCUCGCAAGGGGGAUGGCAAUCCCAGAAAGCCUGCCAGUAAGUUAGGAGAUCGAAGGAGUUAGAAACUUCAUUCCUCAGUAGACACACUGGAAUCCCCUAAGUAAUCAGCAUAGUCAACUAUAGCAGCAGCAGAUAGAAUAUCAUUCCCUAGCUACCUUAGCACAUCAACCCGCGCCAGUGCAGUUUCCAGCCCAGAUGUAGAUUUCUUAGGAGUAGAAGGCAGUAAUCUUUCUUAGGCUAGCAGUCAAAUCUAACGUUUAGCAAGGGGGGAAAACUCGAACCAAGGAAGCAAGAAUCCCAGCGGCCAUGGCAGGCCAAGAGCAUCUGCGGGGGGCAUGAACAAGCAUGCCAUGAACG
This 535-nucleotide ribosomal RNA is filed under the name uncultured archaeon. Its description in RNAcentral is "partial 16S ribosomal RNA". The stretch from base 1 to 244 matches the Rfam family "Archaeal small subunit ribosomal RNA", at positions 1042 to 1288 of the family's 1478-position model. The record is from RNAcentral.